Molecule: long non-coding RNA, 443 nt
Filed under: Physcomitrium patens
Lineage: Eukaryota; Viridiplantae; Streptophyta; Bryopsida; Funariales; Funariaceae
Description: long non-coding RNA (PPAT_LNC002326)
Source: RNAcentral
AGUUUGUGAGAUUUUUUGUAGAUUAUAGUCUUAGAUAUUUGAAAUUUAGGAUUAGUAAGGAUUUUUAUAAUCUUACAACAUCUAUCAACUAGAUUGAAGAAAAAAUUAGUGAGAGCCAUUUAGACUUUAAAAUCUACAUGCUAAUAAAAUUUUAAAUAAUUAAACAGUUUGGCAAAGAGAAAUUGUUGUUGGAAGAUCAACAUUCAAGUUCGAAUAAGAUGGUGGUGAUUAUUCAAUAGAUUUUGAAAGCUAUUCUUUCAAUCCAUGUGUUGGAUUUUUUAGAAAACUUUUGUGCUUGUUAAUUGAACAUGGAUUGAAAUUUGAAUGAAUUUUAGUCAAGAUUAAGAAUUCAAUUAAUAUUUAUUGAGAUUUUAAACUAACUAUAGUAUUUAUUUAAUAUUUAUAUAGGAUUUUUUGGAAUUUUUUAGGAUUUUAUUGAAAUU